UUGGCCUUUGUUUUGUCCAGAUCUCGAGUUCAGAGAUGUUUCAGCUUAUGCGUGAGAUCAUCCAAGUCAACAACAUCAGCUAGCUCUUCUGACGGGCCUCGGCCCAGAUCCUCCGUCCCUGAUCAACGCCCGCGCGGCCCGAAGUUCCCGUCGCCGACGCAGAUCAGAUCCGGCCCAGGACAGUGCAGCAUUUGCUUCUUCACGGAUAGGAUCACGAAGUGGUGAUGUGAGAUACGACGAGUUCUCCGACAAGUUCUUCUGCAGCUUUUCACAGGCGAGCCCACCCCUUCACCUAUUUUACUUUUACAUGCUCUUUUGAUCUAUUUCUAUCCUUGUGUUGCGAUUCUGUUGUGUCACGUGUCCUAUCCACCUGUUACCUAUAUGUCCGAGAUACACCUCCUCGCCCUACCUAUUGUUUGUUGUUUGCCAGCUUUGCGGGUCGUAGGCGAGUUUAGGGUCUUGUUGAUAUCUCGAGAUGUUCGGGAUAUCUUUUUGGGAGGUUAUCACAUGCUAUAUCUUUUGUUGGAGACAAUCACACUUUACUUUAUUGUUAACAACUAAAAUUGUAAGCAGAGGCAUCUGUGAGCCCCUUUGCGAAAGCAUCGGAACUUUGACUCGCUAAUGUCCCCUAGGAUCCGAGUUCUUGUUAUCUGUUCCGAGAUUGAGCGCUCUACCCGUACGUGGGGGAGUGGGACCCCCAUCACCCACUACCUUUCCUCGAGUCUGUUUAUUUGGGAGCCACAACCUUGGUUUUAUUUGCUCAUAUGCACGAUGCACGAUUUACUUCUGUUGCCUUCGGGUGUUUAUAUUCUGUUCUGUACUCAUAUCGUGGAACGAUUAGCGAAAGCAGGUUGUUCACACUUAGCUUAGCCGUUGGCACAAACCUCUGGGUCCGUAUCGGAGUACGGCCGAACUUCGUCACGGGUAGCUUAGUGGGGUGGCUCCCCUUAAACUUUCUCUUGCAUUGGGAACGGUCUUGUUGUGAGACUCCACCUGUAAUAAGUGGGUUCGAGCAUGCGUAUGGUUACAUUUGGGCAACCCCUGCAGGGUGUACAUCUUAUCGAUAAGCCGUGUCCGCGGUUAUGGACGACUUGGAAUUGUAUGACUUGAUCAUAGAACAACUUGCACCUUAUACUUGUUGUUAAUAAUCUGAUAAUAACUUGAUUAGUAAUAUAGCAUUACUACAACCGAUACCUAAUACUUGUCCACCGUUGAGUGCCUCUUACAUUGCCUCUUCGCUUUGUUGAAGGGGAUAUGUGUAUUUGGUUGGGUUAUGUUUGUGUAGUAUUUAUCUGUUACCUUGUGCGCUCUCUUAUCUUCUCUGAGUAGACGGAUGUUGUAGCGUGUCUCUAUUGGAUAGUAGCUUUGCUGCCGCUAAACUCCACAUAUAGCCGGGUGAAGUUUAUACCGCCCACCAGCAAGCAUAGCUGGUCUUGUCUCGCAAGUACGUGCCAAUGGUACUUACCCUCGCCUUCCUUUCUUUUUGUCUCCUCCCCCUUUUGUCGGCAACCGAUGGCCCGACUUUGACAGGUACGAGAUGACGACGUUAGCAAGGUUACCCUUCCGGCUUGGCCUGGGCAGGGUUAUGGACGCCGCUGGUUAUCUUCAGGACUCUUAGUCCAAUUUGUAUCUUGUCCGUACUCGGACGUAUUUGAUCUUCUGUAUGUUUUGGAUCUUUGUAUGUAUCUAUUUGUAUCUUGACUCGUUGGAGUCGUUGUUGUAUAUAUGUAUCUUGUGGGCUC
Molecule: non-coding RNA, 1742 nt
Organism: Lolium perenne
Lineage: Eukaryota; Viridiplantae; Streptophyta; Magnoliopsida; Poales; Poaceae
Source: RefSeq, a predicted model, not a curated record